This 66-nucleotide transfer RNA is filed under the name Ruspolia lineosa. RNAcentral describes it as "tRNA-Ile". The record is from RNAcentral. Lineage: Eukaryota; Metazoa; Arthropoda; Insecta; Orthoptera; Tettigoniidae.
GAUGAAGUGCCUAAAUGAAGGAUUACUGUGAUAGAGUAAAUCAUGUAAUUUAAAUUACCAUCAUUA